GAUGAACGCUGGCGGCGUGCCUAAUACAUGCAAGUCGAGCGAACAGAUGAGGAGCUUGCUCCUCUGACGUUAGCGGCGGACGGGUGAGUAACACGUGGAUAACCUACCUAUAAGACUGGGAUAACUUCGGGAAACCGGAGCUAAUACCGGAUAAUAUAUUGAACCGCAUGGUUCAAUAGUGAAAGACGGUUUUGCUGUCACUUAUAGAUGGAUCCGCGCCGCAUUAGCUAGUUGGUAAGGUAACGGCUUACCAAGGCAACGAUGCGUAGCCGACCUGAGAGGGGGAUCGGCCACCCUGGAACUGAGACACGGUCCAGACUCCUACGGGAGGCAGCAGUAGGGAAUCUUCCGCAAUGGGCGAAAGCCUGACGGAGCAACGCCGCGUGAGUGAUGAAGGUCUUCGGAUCGUAAAACUCUGUUAUUAGGGAAGAACAAAUGUGUAAGUAACUAUGCACGUCUUGACGGUACCUAAUCAGAAAGCCACGGCUAACUACGUG
RNAcentral lists this ribosomal RNA (497 nucleotides) under uncultured bacterium. Its description in RNAcentral is "partial 16S ribosomal RNA". It matches the Rfam family "Bacterial small subunit ribosomal RNA", at positions 28 to 507 of the family's 1533-position model. The record is from RNAcentral.